UCUCCGUAUGUGAACCUGCGGAGGGAUCAUUACUGAGUGAGGGCUCCGGCCCGACCUCCAACCCUUUGUGAAUCGUACUCGUUGCUUCGGGGGCGACCCUGCCGACGACUUCGUCGCCGGGCGCCCCCGGAGGUCUUCUAAACACUGCAUCUUUGCGUCGGAGUUUAAAACAAAUUAAACAAAACUUUCAACAACGGAUCUCUUGGUUCUGGCAUCGAUGAAGAACGCAGC
This 231-nucleotide unclassified non-coding RNA is filed under the name uncultured fungus. RNAcentral's name for it is "sequence contains ITS1, 5.8S rRNA gene". The stretch from base 183 to 231 matches the Rfam family "5.8S ribosomal RNA", at positions 1 to 49 of the family's 154-position model. The record is from RNAcentral. Lineage: Eukaryota; Fungi.